CCUACGGGAGGCUGCAGUGAGGAAUAUUGGUCAAUGGGCGCUAGCCUGAACCAGCCAAGUAGCGUGAAGGAUGACUGCCCUAUGGGUUGUAAACUUCUUUUAUAUGGGAAUAAAGUGCAGUAUGUAUACUGCUUUGCAUGUACCUUAUGAAUAAGGAUCGGCUAACUCCGUGCCAGCAGCCGCGGUAAUACGGAGGAUUCGAGCGUUAUCCGGAUUUAUUGGGUUUAAAGGGAGCGUAGGCGGGUUGUUAAGUCAGUUGUGAAAGUUUGCGGCUCAACCGUAAAAUUGCCGUUGAUACUGGCAGCCUUGAGUACAGUAGAGGUAGGCGGAAUUCGUGGUGUAGCGGUGAAAUGCUUAGAUAUCACGAAGAACUCCGAUUGCGAAGGCAGCCUGCUGGACUGUAACUGACGCUGAUGCUCGAAAGUGUGGGUAUCAAACAGGAUUAGAUACCCUUGUAGUC
Molecule: ribosomal RNA, 460 nt
Filed under: uncultured bacterium
Lineage: Bacteria
Description: partial 16S ribosomal RNA
Rfam family: Bacterial small subunit ribosomal RNA
Source: RNAcentral